UACGUAGGCAGCGAGCGUUGUUCGGAGUUACUGGGCGUAAAGAGUGCGUAGGCGGUUUUCUAAGUUUGGUGUGAAAUCUCCCGGCUUAACCUGGGAAUGGCAUUUGGGACUGCAAGGCUUGAGUGCGGCAGAGGAGACUGGAAUUCCCGGUGUAGCAGUGAAAUGCGUAGAUAUCGGGAGGAAUACCGAUGGCGAAGGCAGGUCUCUGGGCUGACACUGACGCUCAUGCACGAAAGCGUGGGGAGCAAACAGG
RNAcentral lists this ribosomal RNA (253 nucleotides) under uncultured bacterium. RNAcentral's name for it is "partial 16S ribosomal RNA". It matches the Rfam family "Bacterial small subunit ribosomal RNA", at positions 524 to 776 of the family's 1533-position model. The record is from RNAcentral.